ACAGAAGGAAGCUGUAUGGGCUGUAACC
Molecule: non-coding RNA, 28 nt
Filed under: Cricetulus griseus (Chinese hamster)
Lineage: Eukaryota; Metazoa; Chordata; Mammalia; Rodentia; Cricetidae
Source: RNAcentral